Molecule: transfer RNA, 75 nt
Filed under: Mycobacteroides chelonae
Lineage: Bacteria; Bacillati; Actinomycetota; Actinomycetes; Mycobacteriales; Mycobacteriaceae
Description: (Mycobacterium chelonae corrig. Bergey et al. 1923 (Approved Lists 1980) emend. Kim et al. 2017) tRNA-Met
Rfam family: tRNA
About the family: Transfer RNA (tRNA) molecules are approximately 80 nucleotides in length. Their secondary structure includes four short double-helical elements and three loops (D, anti-codon, and T loops). Further hydrogen bonds mediate the characteristic L-shaped molecular structure. tRNAs have two regions of fundamental functional importance: the anti-codon, which is responsible for specific mRNA codon recognition, and the 3' end, to which the tRNAs corresponding amino acid is attached (by aminoacyl-tRNA synthetases). tRNAs cope with the degeneracy of the genetic code in two manners: having more than one tRNA (with a specific anti-codon) for a particular amino acid; and 'wobble' base-pairing, i.e. permitting non-standard base-pairing at the 3rd anti-codon position.
Source: RNAcentral
GUCGGGGUAGAGAAGCUCGGCCAUCUCGCUGUCCUCAUAAGUCAGAGACCGUGGGUUCGAAUCCCACCCCCGCCA